GAAUGAGUUAGGGAGAAUUGCUUUCCUUUCAAUACCAUUGAAGAGUUUGAGGAAUAUUGAUAUUAAAUCUUCUCUAACUUUCUUGUAGAAUUCAGCCAUGAAUCCAUCAGGACCUGGGCUUUUCUUUGUUGUGAAUGUCAUGUGUUCAGCUGAGAAGACUGUGUAUACUGAUGUUGGAUGGAACAUACUGUAAACAUCUACUAAGUCCAUGUGUGCACAGCAUUUAUUGGGAUGUCAUUACGUCAGGCUCUUUAUCAGAUGAGUUUCUGAAUCUCUGCCCUGAGGAGCUCAGAAAAGAAAACAACACGUGAUAUAUCUGCUCCGUGCUGGGGUUGAAGAAGAUGGUGAAGCCUGACUGCUUCUGGGUGGGGUGGAAAGCGGAAAUGGGAAGCAUUGUGUUUUCAGCUUUCUCUGUGUCUGUCUUCUCAGUUGGUUAUGGAAUCUAUAUGUUGACCAAAUGUGCUAAAAGCUGAGUUAGAACACUAUUUUCUCAUAAAAUAAAUCCUGAACGAAUUGUGAUUCUGUAGUCUUCCUCAAAAAAAAAAAAAAAAAAA
This is a long non-coding RNA of Cavia porcellus (domestic guinea pig), 554 nucleotides long. RefSeq lists it as uncharacterized. Lineage: Eukaryota; Metazoa; Chordata; Mammalia; Rodentia; Caviidae. The transcript is spliced from 3 exons. The record is from RefSeq and is a predicted model, not a curated record.